This 334-nucleotide ribosomal RNA is filed under the name uncultured eukaryote. Its description in RNAcentral is "partial 18S ribosomal RNA". It matches the Rfam family "Eukaryotic small subunit ribosomal RNA", at positions 1470 to 1796 of the family's 1831-position model. The record is from RNAcentral.
CCCUUAGAUGUCCGGGGCCGCACGCGCGCUACACUGAAGGAAUCAGCGUGGCUUUCUCCCUGACCCGAAAGGGUUGGGAAACCCGUUGAAUCUCCUUCGUGAUAGGGAUUGGGGCUUGAAAUUGUUCCCCAUGAACGAGGAAUUCCCAGUAAGCGCGAGUCAUAAGCUCGCGUUGAUUACGUCCCUGCCCUUUGUACACACCGCCCGUCGCUACUACCGAUUGAACGGUUUAGUGAGGGCCUCGGAUUGGUCUCGGCCCGCUCUUUACCGCGCGGCGCCGUUGGUCGAGAAGACGCUCGAACUUGAUCGUUUAGAGGAAGUAAAAGUCGUAACA